Molecule: ribosomal RNA, 486 nt
Filed under: uncultured bacterium
Lineage: Bacteria
Description: bacterial SSU rRNA
Rfam family: Bacterial small subunit ribosomal RNA
Source: RNAcentral
AUUGAACGCUGGCGGAAUGCUUUACACAUGCAAGUCGAACGGCAGCAUAGGUGCUUGCACCUGAUGGCGAGUGGCGAACGGGUGAGUAAUACAUCGGAACGUGCCCGGUCGUGGGGGAUAACGUAGCGAAAGUUACGCUAAUACCGCAUACGAUCUACGGAUGAAAGCGGGGGACCGUAAGGCCUCGCGCGAUUGGAGCGGCCGAUGUUAGAUUAGGUAGUUGGUGGGGUAAAGGCUCACCAAGCCGACGAUCUAUAGCUGGUCUGAGAGGAUGAUCAGCCACACUGGGACUGAGACACGGCCCAGACUCCUACGGGAGGCAGCAGUGGGGAAUUUUGGACAAUGGGCGCAAGCCUGAUCCAGCCAUUCCGCGUGCAGGACGAAGGCCUUCGGGUUGUAAACUGCUUUUGUACAGAACGAAAAGCCUUGGGUUAAUACCCUGGGGUCAUGACGGUACUGUAAGAAUAAGCACCGGCUAACUACGUG